GACGAACGCUGGCGGCGUGCCUAAUACAUGCAAGUAGAACGCACAGUUUAUACCGUAGCUUGCUACACCAUAGACUGUGAGUUGCGAACGGGUGAGUAACGCGUAGGUAACCUGCCUGGUAGCGGGGGAUAACUAUUGGAAACGAUGGCUAAUACCGCAUAAUAUUAAUUAUUGCAUGAUAAUUAAUUGAAAGGUGCAAUUGCACCACUACCAGAUGGACCUGCGUUGUAUUAGCUAGUAGGUGAGGUAACGGCUCACCUAGGCGACGAUACAUAGCCGACCUGAGAGGGUGAUCGGCCACACUGGGACUGAGACACGGCCCAGACUCCUACGGGAGGCAGCAGUAGGGAAUCUUCGGCAAUGGACGAAAGUCCGACCGAGCAACGCCGCGUGAGUGAAGAAGGUUUUCGGAUCGUAAAGCUCUGUUGUAAGAGAAGAACGGGUGUGAGAGUGGAAAGUUCACACUGUGACGGUAUCUUACCAGAAAGGGACGGCUAACUACGUG
This 505-nucleotide ribosomal RNA is filed under the name uncultured bacterium. Its description in RNAcentral is "partial 16S ribosomal RNA". It matches the Rfam family "Bacterial small subunit ribosomal RNA", at positions 28 to 507 of the family's 1533-position model. The record is from RNAcentral.